Molecule: transfer RNA, 70 nt
Filed under: Camelus bactrianus (Bactrian camel)
Lineage: Eukaryota; Metazoa; Chordata; Mammalia; Artiodactyla; Camelidae
Also listed under: 2 other names
Rfam family: tRNA
About the family: Transfer RNA (tRNA) molecules are approximately 80 nucleotides in length. Their secondary structure includes four short double-helical elements and three loops (D, anti-codon, and T loops). Further hydrogen bonds mediate the characteristic L-shaped molecular structure. tRNAs have two regions of fundamental functional importance: the anti-codon, which is responsible for specific mRNA codon recognition, and the 3' end, to which the tRNAs corresponding amino acid is attached (by aminoacyl-tRNA synthetases). tRNAs cope with the degeneracy of the genetic code in two manners: having more than one tRNA (with a specific anti-codon) for a particular amino acid; and 'wobble' base-pairing, i.e. permitting non-standard base-pairing at the 3rd anti-codon position.
Source: Rfam by way of RNAcentral
GGGUAUAGCUCAGUGGUAGAGCACAUGCUUAGCAUGCAUGAGGUCAUGAGUUCAAUCCCCAGUAUCUCCA